AUGGAGUUUGGGCUGAGCUGGGUUGUCCUUGUUGCUAUUUUACAAGGUGUCCAGUGUGGGGUGCAGCUGGUGGAGUCUGUGGGAGGCCUGAUGCAGCCAGGGAGGUCUCUGAGACUCUCUUGUGCAGCGUCUGGGUUCACCUUCAUUAACUAUCCCAUGAGCUGGCUCCUCCAGGCUCCAGGGAAGGGGCUGGACAGGGUCUCAGUUAUUAGUAGUAGUGGUGGUAGCACAUACUAUGCAGACUCUGUGAAGGGUCGAUUCACCAUCUCCAGAGACAACUCCAAGAACACACUUUAUCUGCAAAUGAACAGCCUGAGGUCUGAGGACACGGCCGUGUAUUACUGUGCAAAAGAUACACAGUGA
Non-coding RNA from Balaenoptera ricei (Rice's whale), 363 nucleotides. Lineage: Eukaryota; Metazoa; Chordata; Mammalia; Artiodactyla; Balaenopteridae. The record is from the annotation of a RefSeq genome assembly.